RNAcentral lists this long non-coding RNA (903 nucleotides) under Citrus x clementina. RNAcentral describes it as "Citrus clementina (C. clementina) long non-coding RNA (CCLE_LNC006527)". The record is from RNAcentral. Lineage: Eukaryota; Viridiplantae; Streptophyta; Magnoliopsida; Sapindales; Rutaceae.
UGUGAGAGUAUUAGUUUAACUAGGUUUUACCGUAAUUAUUUAAAUUUUGAUUAUAUUUCAAAAAAUUAAAAAAAAUCAACAAAUAAUAUUGUGACACAUAUCACCAACGGCAAAAACAAACGCGUCAUCAAACUAUAUCUAUCUCCAGAUGGGGUCUCGUGGUAUAUUCAACAAUCAACAUCCAAUGAAGUUGCCGGACCGCCGCUUAAAUUUAAGAGUAUUCUAAAAGUUCAAUCUAUUAAAUGCAAGGGGAAAAAGAGAGAGAGAGAGAGAGAGAGGGAAGUUAUCCUCUCGUGAAAGUGGCCGAUCUCAAGUGCUUUUUAACCUUUGAGGAAGUGAAAAAUUUCAACACUUUGUGUCACAGCGAGUACUCAGCAAGCAAAGCUAAACAGGUCCUAAUCUUGACCGUAAAUGAUGCCACAUGCAUUCUUCAAUGAACUUUCCAAAUGGUGGUAUUCGAUAGCAAUUGUGCACAUGAUGAUAACGUUGUUGUGUAUUUUUUUUUUUUUUUUUUUCCAAGCAAAAACGCUGGCAGUAUCUGACUCGAUUUGCAAUUCCGUCGCUCAAUGUACAAUCUUUGUCAAAAUUAAUAACAAAUAAUUCCACUGGUCAAGCUCAAGCCAACGCCAACUGGAAUCUCAUUCUGUGGUCCUAUUUAUUUUUAGGAGCUAGCUACGGUACAGAUUCUGUAACAUACAGACCAGGUUAACCAGCCCCCAGUGGUGCCAUUUGCUUGCUUUGUUUUCACAUGGUGGGACACGUGGAGUGCAUGGAGUGGGGAAUGUAUGUUACAGAAUCUGUAAGAUAGACUUCUCCUUAUUUUUAGCGUGAAAAGUAAAAUUCUCACUCCGUGAGAAAAAGUGGAAACCUACCCCCACUUCUUCUUCUUUUUUUUAACCAUUU